Molecule: long non-coding RNA, 2703 nt
Organism: Triticum dicoccoides
Lineage: Eukaryota; Viridiplantae; Streptophyta; Magnoliopsida; Poales; Poaceae
Exons: 3
Source: RefSeq, a predicted model, not a curated record
CCCGCCCCACCUCACCGCGCGCCACCGGCCACCACCGCCGCCGAGCUGCCGUUCGUCGCCAGCACCCGCGGAUCCGAACGCCCGUCGCCUUCCAUGUCGGCUGCACCUCCCAGCGCCGGCGCCCUACCAAGCUCUGCCGCUGGAGGAUCUCCUCCGCUGGAUCCACAACCCCAUGGCCGGAACAGGUCUUCCUCGAGUAUCCAUGCUCCAUGAUGCUCCGGCCGCCCUCUUCCUCUCUGUUCCCUCCCAUCCCUCCUACCACAGCCGAGGCUCUAGGCGCCCUCUUCUCACCCGUUACCCCUCUUCCUCCCUGUUCCUUCCCACCCCUUCUCCCGCCGGCUCCAACCGUGGUGGUGGGGGGCGAGCAGCUGUCGUCCGGUGGCUGGGGGAGUGAGGAGGGCGCCGGUCUAAAGCACGCCAUUGCAGCCUUGGCAACUUGUGAUGCGCCCUGAGCUUGCUGGGCAUCAGUUCGUGCCUGCCAUAGUGCCAAUGACAAGACCAACGUAAGGGCGGCGCCGGCGCACAGACUGGCGGCGCGGGGUAGACUUGCAGCCAAGGCGCGGCGGCGGCGUGGCGCGCCGGUGCUCAGGAGCCGAGGCGGAGCUUAGUCCAGCUGAGCUACUUGGUUAAUUCUCGGGCGGAGGGCCCAAUGGCUACAGUGGCGGCGACGACCCAACGGCGAAAGGGGAUGGUUGCAUGAUGAUCUUGUUCUGAUCAAUUCUGAAAUAGGAAUGGAGGAUUACUGUGGUGGUCACUGUUGAGGAUGUUGGGUUACCUGACAGUAGGUGUAGCAAUGAAAGGCCUAUAUAUUCUACCAGAAGCAUCCUGGUUUUCUCAUCUUAUUAGUGACUCACUUUCAAAACAUAUGUAUUGGUAGUUUUUAUCUCUAUGCUCUGCCUUCCACAUACUGGAUUGCAAUGUGUUUGUCUUGAUCCAAUCCUUCGUGCGGCCAUGGGGUGUCCGACAGGGACUGAUUUGGCCGUUCUAGAGUCCCAAAACAUAUAAAUACACAUCCACUCCCUCGACUGAAGCCCCAACCCAAUUGCGUCGUUUCAUCCGUGCUCAACAUUGGUGUCUUGCCGUUCUGCCAAAGUCAUGGAAAUCUCACUGUUCUGCCAACCUAGCCGGAAUUUCUCCGUACUGCCGACUUCAUCGGAAUUACAUCCGCCCGUGUAGCCAAGGUACAUCAUUCAAACUGCUCGAGUCAUACUGAUUUGGAGUUGUUUUGGUCAAGCGGUUGAACUGAACCGUGCUACUGCACAAUAGCCAAAAGGAGAGUCAGUUUGUUUCUCCGACCUGUGUGACUUGAAGCACAUAAACUGAACCAUGCUAUUGCACAAUAGCCCAAAGUUUGUCUGAUUUAUAUGAGUAUCAUAAUAUAAUUUUGUUUCUACUAUAUGUAAUAGGUAACCAGCAAUGUUGUUUUCAGCUUACAAGAAUGCUGAUGUUGUUUGAAUGCAUAUAUAAUUAUUGGAAUUAGUUUGAAUGCAUAUACAGUACCUUGAUGUUGAAUUUACAAGGUCCUGAUGUUGGAUUUACUGUCUUAUAGAUUUUGUAAUUUAAAGUUGCUCCACAAAGUUGGUGACUGUUGUUUGUACAGUGAGCUGAUAUAGAAUGCUUCAUCACACAAACUAAUCUAGCUGCAUCAGUAUGGUGAUGGUGGAUUUACACUGUCCUAUAGAUUUUGAAUUUACAAUAUGGUGAUGGUGGAUUUACACUGCCCUAUAGAUUUUGUAAUUUAUUGUAGUAGCUGACUAGCUGUAGCUCCGUAUAGUGUGUCAUUGUUGUUUGUACAGUGAGUUCAUAUAGAAUGCUUGAUCACAUGAAUUUUUUUGAAUGUAUAUUACAGUUUCCUGGUGUUUAAUUUAUAAUACAUUGAUGAUGGAUUUAUGGUCCUAUAGCUUAUGUAAAUUUUAGUAGUUCUUUUGUGACUGCUGUUUUUACAGUGAGAUAAUAGUGAAUUUUCCAGUGGCCACCGCUUUCUGAGAUCACCAUCACUACCUAGCACUCUGAUUUUGCUAUAACUGUUGUCCUCCUAAUAGGUUAUACUUUCUCUUUCUACUUCUUUUGCUUUUCCAUGUUUGUUGCAGUUCAUUGUGAUUCUUUUAUACUCAUUGUACCUCGAUGCUGCAACAAUGGUAACUGAGAAUCCGGCAACACUCAAAUAGAAGUCAAAGAAUUCUUGUCCUUCUCUUGUGUUGAACUCCAUUUCUAGGUGCGGCAUUAUAAUGCUCUCAGUGUUCAUGACAUUUCCUUCGUGUGCUACAAUAUUUCCAUUUUCCAAGAAAUCUCAAUACGCUCUUCAUUUAAAUACUCAUCUUCCUUUUCAAUCUGCCGUAACUGAUGGUUACCCAUGCUUUUCUCAGCUUCAUUAUUACUCUCUUUAUGUUCCACACAUGUGGCAAAUUGUCUGAAGUGUAUGAAUUUCCCCAUAACAUGAUGGAUCCUUCAUCUUCAACUAACCUGCGGCAAGUGUAUGCUUUUUAUUUAUUUAUUUUCUUCAGGAUUUUUUGUUGCUGAGGCAACCUGGAUAUGUGUUUACAUUUCAGUUUCUCUACUUGAUGUUUCUUAAUUACCUUGUCCAAGCUUAGAUUGUCAGGAUUUGAAGAAGUUGGAUCAAUACUGGCUUUAUGUAGAGAAACUUUAUGUAGCUUGCUGUCUUGCUGUACAUUGUUUGAAGCUUUAUGUAGCUUGCUGUCCUGC